RNAcentral lists this ribosomal RNA (4092 nucleotides) under Triticum aestivum (bread wheat). RNAcentral's name for it is "partial small subunit ribosomal RNA". Lineage: Eukaryota; Viridiplantae; Streptophyta; Magnoliopsida; Poales; Poaceae. The record is from RNAcentral.
AUGGCGGAGCUUGGUGGCAUGCUUGCCGCUGCCAUCCUCAAGGUGGUGGGUGAGCAGAUUGGUUCUGUGAUUGGUGGUCAGAUCGCCCUGAAGAUGAACUUCGAUGAGGACCUGAACAAGAUGAAGAUGGAGCUGGAGGGUGUCGAUGCCCUGCUCGAGGACGCCGAGAGGCGGUCGAUCACGGAUAGAUCGACACGUCUAUGGCUGAAGCGGCUCAAGGACUUCAUGUAUGAGAUCUCCGAUAUGAUUGAUGAAUUCGAAGCCGACACGCAAGCAAUCAUACAGCCGUCUGCGCGAAAGUCCUCCUUCAAAAAUUAUUUGGCAACUAUGAUCUCUUGUCUCACAAUUGGCCCUGAGAUUACAAUGGCCAAUAAGAUGGAUAAGAUGAGGCAGGGUCUAGAAGUAAUAACAGAUCAGCACAGGAAAUUCGAAUUAAUGGAAGGUACUAAUGCCAGUGAGCCAAAGGUUACGGAUAUACGGGAAACAUCGUCAACCUUGGAGACACAUGUAAUUGGGAGAACCGGGGAGAAAGAGAAAAUAUUGGCAUCGUUAUCCAAGAGCAUGAAAAAAGAGAUCACAAUCCUUCCCAUUUAUGGCAUUGGAGGCCUUGGAAAAACAACCUUGGCAAAAAUGGUUUACAAUAGUUCCCAAUUUAGAGAAUACUCCCAAGUGUGGGUUUAUGUGUCCCAGACAUUUGAUUUGAAGAAAAUUGGCAAUUCUAUAAUAUCACAACUAUCACAGAAAGAGAAUGAGAGUGGGUACACUGGAAAGCAGAUGAUCCAUAAUUCCCUUCAAAAGCUCAUUGCCAAUAAGAAUAUACUGAUUGUUUUAGAUGACCUAUGGGAAGAUAACAAUUCUCAUUUGGAAGAGUUGAUGGGUUUGUUAAAGGUUGAAGAGAGUGGCAAGGUGGUUGUUAUAGUUACCACACGCUAUGAGGGCAUUGCAAAGAAAAUUUGUACAAUUCAACCUCACAAAUUAGUACCACUAACAGAUGACCAGUGUUGGAAUAUCAUAAAGCAAAAGAGUGACUUUGAAUUGAGAGACGACAAAGAAGAGUUGCAUCACAUAGGCCAGGACAUCGCAAGUAAGUGCCGAGGCGUGGCUUUAGCAGCGCAAUCGCUUGGACACAUGUUGCAUUCUCUCUCCUUUGAUGAAUGGGAGUCGGUGAGAAACAGUGAUUUCUGGAAUUUAUCUGAUUCAGAAGAUACAAGCUUGACACAUGCGCUUGCAUCAUUGAAGUUAAGCUAUAGUGUUAUGCCUUCGUAUUUGAAGAUAUGUUUUGCCUAUUGUGCGAUUUUCCCAAAAGGUUACAAGAUAGUUAAAGAUGACCUGAUCCAUCAGUGGAUUUCUCUGGGUUUCAUCAAGGCAACAAACAAUUUAUCCACUUGGCAGCUUGGUGAGAAAUGCAUUAGGCAACUUUUGGGCCUGUCCUUCCUUGAACAUUCAAAGUCAGCACUGACUACAGGAAUGGAUUAUGAAAAUGAUAGAUUGUUCACCAUGCACGAUUUGGUGCAUGAUCUAGCAAGAUUGGUCAUGGUCGAUGAAGUACAUGUUGCUAGCAAACAAGGCAACACAGGGGGAGGUUGCUGCCACUUUGCAUUGCUAAAUGAUUGUUCCAAGCCAUUGGAGUCAUCCAAGAUAAGGGCACUUCGUUUUAUGGAGUGUGACAAAAGUGAACUUCAUGACGCUGCCUUUUCAUCUGCUAAGUCCAUGCGUGUCUUGGACUUAAGCGAGUGCUCCAUGCAUAAAUUUCCAGAUUCUAUUCACGUGUUGAAGCAGUUGAGAUAUCUUAGUGCUCCAAGAAUCCAUGAUGCAGAGAUUCCCGAUAGUAUCACCAAGCUUUCAAAAUUAAUUUAUCUGAACCUUCAUGGAUCUCCUAAAAUCUUAGCACUACCAGAGUCAAUUGGAGAAAUUGAGGGUCUAAUGUAUCUUGAUUUGGCGGGUUGUUCAAGAAUUGAAGAACUGCCUGAAUCUUUUAGCAGGCUAAAAGAAUUGGUGCAUCUAGAUCUAUCAAAUUGCUAUGGUGUUCGAGGUAUAUCGGUGUUCCUGGGGAGCCUCACACAACUGCAGUAUUUGAACUUAUCAUACUGCCCAAAUAUCGGAGAGAUACCUGAAGAUCUAAGUGGUCUAUCCAAAUUGCAGUAUUUGAACUUAUCAUUCAGCUCAUAUGUUCAAUGUUGCGAAGAAGUAGAAUUUUUGGGGGCCUUUACCAAACUCGAGUACUUAAACUUAUCUUCAGACCAUUCUGUACUUCAAAAGCUCCCUGAAGCUUUGGGCAGAUUCAUUCAACUCAAGUACUUAAACUUAUCUGGUUGUCGAGAUAUGACAACAUUGCCAAUGUUUCCUGGGAGUCUAAAAAAUUUGGCGCAUCUUGAUUUAUCACAUUGUUAUAGUAUUUAUCGUCUUCAAGAGGCUUUGGUGGGUCUUACCAAUCUGAGAUAUUUGAACUUAAAAGAUACAUGUUUGAAACCACAACUAGAAUAUGAUGAUACCAAAUAUCAUAGGAAGAGAUCAUGUUUACUUGGUUCACCAUUGGAAAAAAAUCAUUAUGGGAAUUACUUUCAAAGUCUGAUCAACCAUUUAGGCAAUAAUCUUUCUGAUCUAGAGCAUUUGGACUUGUCUUAUAAUCAUUCUCUUGAAAGCAUACCUGAAAGUAUUUGUCGCAUGAGAAAGCUGCAUACAUUGGAUCUUUCGGAAUGCAUACUUCUUGCAAAGAUACCAGAAAGUAUACACACACUUGGUAGUUUGAAGUUUCUUUAUUUGAAGGGAUGUGACCUUCUUUCCAGAAUACCUCAUCUUGGUGGUAGUACAGUAUCAUUACCAUACUUUGUGGUGCGUGCUGGUGAUGAUGAUGAAUCUAGCAGCAACCUUGUCCUGCUACAAUCCACAGAUCCUGUUGAGCUGCAGAUAUCUGAACUUGAAAAUGUGAAGUCCCCAGGAGAGGCAGAUCGUAUCAAAUUAGUGGAAAAGCAUAGCCUCAAGGACUUGAAAUUGGAGUGGACUAGAGGUGUUGAGAGAUUUGUCUAUGACAAAAUGUUGCUGAAAAAUCUAGUGCCACCAAGCACAUUGAAGAAAUUGGAGAUAUGUGGUUACAAUGGUGUCAGCUUUCCUGCGUGGCUGGUGGGCCAACUACCAAACCUAGUCUCGUUGGUUCUCAGAGAUAUGGCAAACGUGGAAGAGUGGAACACAUCAUACUCAAGUGAUGAGGAGCAUGUGAUUCAAAUAUUGGAAAUACAUGGUUGCCCCAUGUUAAGGAUGAAAAGGUCUCUGCUUAAAGCUAAAUCAUGGGUGAUAUCACACAGUGAUAAUGUGUUAUCAUCACUGGAUGAGUGCACUGUGUCACACGCCAGUGUUUCCUCCUCCACUUCUCCAAUAACUAUUGUGUUGUCAGUUAAAUACUGUAAGGGGCCUCAUCGGUGGAGGUUGCUUCAACACUUCACCGGACUAUCUUCUUUGUCAAUUCACAAUUGUGGUGAUCUAACCGGCUCACCAGAGAUCACCCAUCAUCUAUCGUCUUUGGAAGCACUAUGCCUAGAAGACGAACACAUGGAAGAACUACCAAAAUGGUUGGGUGAGCUCGCAUCUCUACAAAGUCUGGAAAUAAGGUGGAGCAAUGGUGUAACAGAGUUGAAUGAGACCAUGAGGCAACUCACAAUGCUGCAGUCACUAAACUUGUCCUAUUGCCACAAUUUAUCACUGCCACAUUGGUUAGGCGAACUAACCUCUCUCAAGGAACUUGUUGUGUGUUCCAAUGAUGUCUUGAGGUCUUUACCUGAAAGCAUACAACAACUAACCGACCUUCAGAAAAUAAAAAUUAGCAACUGCCCUAAAUUAGAGCAUGUGGUUAAUGAAUCAUUGGAGGGAAUGAUGAAGCGCACUCACAACCAAGAAACGGUAUGCGUCCUGCCCGCCUCUCUCAAGGAACUUACUAUCCAUAUAUGUCAUGGUAUCAAGUCAUUGCCUGAGGGCAUACAUCAACUCACCAACCUCAAAAACCUAGAGAUUGAUGAGUGCUAUUACCUUUAUCAGUGGUGUAAAUUAGAGGAGAGCAAGAAGCUUGCUCACAUACAAAACAAGUCUUUUGUCUGGUAG